RNAcentral lists this ribosomal RNA (260 nucleotides) under Enterococcus faecium. RNAcentral describes it as "partial 16S ribosomal RNA". It matches the Rfam family "Bacterial small subunit ribosomal RNA", at positions 1 to 239 of the family's 1533-position model. The record is from RNAcentral. Lineage: Bacteria; Bacillati; Bacillota; Bacilli; Lactobacillales; Enterococcaceae.
UUUUAUGAGAGUUUGAUCCUGGCUCAGGACGAACGCUGGCGGCGUGCCUAAUACAUGCAAGUCGAACGCUUCUUUUUCCACCGGAGCUUGCUCCACCGGAAAAAGAGGAGUGGCGAACGGGUGAGUAACACGUGGGUAACCUGCCCAUCAGAAGGGGAUAACACUUGGAAACAGGUGCUAAUACCGUAUAACAAUCGAAACCGCAUGGUUUUGAUUUGAAAGGCGCUUUCGGGUGUCGCUGAGGGAUGGACCCGCGGUGC